Oreochromis aureus is the source of this 901-nucleotide long non-coding RNA. Lineage: Eukaryota; Metazoa; Chordata; Actinopteri; Cichliformes; Cichlidae. The record is from Ensembl.
GCUAACUGAGCGGAGAGUGGCUGCGGGGCAGCUAACUGAGCGGAGAGUGGCUGCGGGGCAGCUAACUGGGCUUGAGGCCACUGAGCGGGCGAAUCGCUGUUCAUUUUAGUAUCAGACACACCAAACACAGCCCCAGAAUAAAUAGUCCCACAGUCCAAAAAAAAAGAGUCCUCACUCACCACAGCCGGCGAUUUAAAAGUCCGAACGUCCGGCUGUGGGGUGGCGCGCCGGCGGCGCGAUCGUCGUUUUUUUCCCGCUGACGGCUCCGACGGACCGGGCAAAACCACAUCCGGCGGGUUGGGCAGCGAGGUAGUAGUGGCAGAGAGAAGGUGUGGUGUGAGGUGGAGAAAAGCCUGCAUGGUCGGGGGAAGCGACUCCAAUAGCCAGGGCAGGCCGGAAAAGAGCCGUUGUAGCCGGCUUUCCACUGCGCGGCGAAGCUCCUCCGGGGGGUGUUCUAACCACAGCCCGAGGAGAAUCUCCACAUUGUAGACAAUGUCGUCCCGGAGCUCCUCGGACGGGUUGACUGCUGCUGGGUCCAUGGUGGCUGGUUCGUUCUGUCACGUCCGGUGUGGCAGACGUGUGGAGAAAUAGGGAGGACCCAAGAUGCGGCAGCUCUGGUGCAGAUAUGCAGGGAGGCACAGGGAAAUCCAUAGGAAGCCGGAGAGACGUAGGGAGACCGAGGGAAACAACACAGACGAACCAGCAACGAGGACAAGGGAGUGUGGGGAGCCAUAGCCCCGUCCCCCAGGGCAUGAAGCAGGUAUGGAGGAGAUCCAGGCCCCAGACAUCCAGAGGCCCCAGAAUACGAAGACCCAAGGAGGACCACCAGGGGGGCAACCGUGCCACCCUCCUGGGAAGAGCUGAGGAGAGACCCAAACGAGAGGUCACCCAGCAGCCACGG